CCACCCCUUACAGUGUAUAUGUGUGUGUGUGUGUGUGGGGGGGUGUGUCUUUGAAGUAUUCACUUUCUUAUUUGUCUCCCUUCUCCAGAUAACCAAAGUUUCUAGAGGCUACAAGAAGUUUUCUUAACUGGAAACUAUUGAAACUACAACCCCACAGCUAACCCUCCGUGUUAGGACAGGAUUGAUUAAGGUAGGUGAAAGAAGAGGAGACCAACCUCAUUGGAGCAGAAUUAUUUUUAAUCAGAACAAUUGAAGAACCAUAGUCUCUCCGAGGGAGUGGAGAUUGUGCUCAUAUGAUGGAGGGAUUUGGGGGGGGGGGCUUUAGAGGUGGAAGAGUCCACCUGCAUGUUUCAAACUAGUAAACACCAAAGGAGUUUGAUGUGUUGAUCUUAUUAUUAUAAGAAAAUUUAUUGAAAUCCCUUACAGGUUAACCUAACCAGGUUAGCUGGAUAGGUCCAGCUAACCCAACAAAUGGCUAGUUAUGAACUGAAAGUUUAAGAAUAUAGUAGUUACUUAGUCCCACAAGACUGGUAUUCUGUGCAUAACAGAAUCUCAAAGAGGGAGGUUACAAUGCCAGUGAAAGAAUGGAUGUGCUAGAAAGCAGCCAAAAAGCAAAACUUUCCUUAUUCCAAGUCCUUAUAUAGACUUCCAGGCAAGGAAUUUAAGGUAUGUUUGCCUGCCUCAAGGUCUAGAUCAAAAGCUUGUCUUCUCACUUUAAAAUCCAGAUGAGAGUUGUCUCUCCCUGUCUCAGAGAGUCCAUUAUAAGUGUUUUUAACCAGUUUAAACCAAGCAGAAUUUCUCUCACAUCUGUGCCCUCCAUUCCUGCAUUGUAGUUCAUUCCAGAUAUAGACAACC
RNAcentral lists this long non-coding RNA (855 nucleotides) under Mus musculus (house mouse). Its description in RNAcentral is "long non-coding RNA chr7:77412572-77413427". The record is from RNAcentral. Lineage: Eukaryota; Metazoa; Chordata; Mammalia; Rodentia; Muridae.